AUAAAUGCGAUGACAAGGAGGAGUACAUACUCGCCAAAGUCCCAGAGAGAAGAUGGAUGGUGUGAAUCUUCACGGAGGAAGUAUGGAAGUAGCCUUUGAGCAGUGAGACGAACAGGCGGCAGGCCCAAGUAGCACUCAACGUAUCUUUCCUACGUUACAGGGAAAACGGUAUCGAUAGCAAUGUCCGUACUGAUAAGUGUGAAACUGUCAGGAGGUAUACUAUCCGUACUGGCAGAGUGCGGGAAGCAGCAGUCUUCCUGAAUUUAGGUGGUAACACGGAUGAGAUAUUCGCCCUAAGC
Molecule: non-coding RNA, 299 nt
Filed under: Lactonifactor longoviformis
Lineage: Bacteria; Bacillati; Bacillota; Clostridia; Eubacteriales; Clostridiaceae
Description: T-box sequence
Rfam family: T-box leader
About the family: Uncharged tRNA acts as the effector for transcription antitermination of genes in the T-box leader family. T-boxes are found upstream of many aminoacyl-tRNA synthetase genes and some amino acid biosynthetic genes usually in Gram-positive bacteria.
Source: RNAcentral